RNAcentral lists this RNase P RNA (357 nucleotides) under Puniceicoccales bacterium. Its description in RNAcentral is "RNase P RNA component class A". It matches the Rfam family "Bacterial RNase P class A". From Rfam's summary of the family: Ribonuclease P (RNase P) is a ubiquitous endoribonuclease, found in archaea, bacteria and eukarya as well as chloroplasts and mitochondria. Its best characterised activity is the generation of mature 5'-ends of tRNAs by cleaving the 5'-leader elements of precursor-tRNAs. The record is from RNAcentral. Lineage: Bacteria; Pseudomonadati; Verrucomicrobiota; Opitutia; Puniceicoccales.
UUUGCUGGGUGUGUGCUCGCUCGUAAAGAGAGGUAUUCGAGAGGAAAGUCCGGACAUCUCAUGGCGUGAUUCCAGGUGAAAAUCUGGGCUGCGAAAUACUAUUCGCAGACGGAAAGUGCAACAGAAAGUAUACCGCCGAGAGGUAAGGGUGAAAUGGCGAGGUAAGAGCUCACCGUGGUUGGAGUAAUCCAACCAGCAAUGAAAACCCAAUCAGAUGCAAGGCAAAAUAGGCGAAUGGAUUGCCAGUCCCAUAUUCGCGGGUUUGCCGCACUCCCCAGCGGGAGAGUGAAGUUCACUAGAUAGAUGAGCACAUCGGCGAAUGUCGAACAGAAUCCGGCUUAUAUCCCAGCAAAACAU